AGAGUUUGAUUCUGGCUCAGGANNNACGCUGGCGGCGUGCCUAACACAUGCAAGUGGAGCGACGAACCGGGCUUCGGCCCGGAGCAAAGCCGCGAACGGGUGAGUAACACGUGGGUAACCUGCCCUGAUGAUUGGGACAACCCGAGGAAACUCGGGCUAAUACCGAAUGUGCCCUCUGGCCAUAAGGCCGCUGGGGAAAGGAAGCUUCGGCCUCCGCAUCGGGAUGGGCCCGCGGCCCAUUAGCUUGUUGGUAAGGUAAUGGCUUACCAAGGCGACGAUGGGUAGCUGGUCUGAGAGGACGAUCAGCCACACUGGGACUGAGACACGGCCCAGACUCCUACGGGAGGCAGCAGUGGGGAAUCUUGCGCAAUGCGCGGAAGCGUGACGCAGCAACGCCGCGUGGGGGAAGAAGGCCUUCGGGUUGUAAACCCCUUUCAGUUGGGACGAAGCUCCGCCGGUGAACAGUCGGCUGGAGUGACGGUACCUUCAGAAGAAGCCCCGGCUAACUACGUGCCAGCAGCCGCGGUAAUACGUAGGGGGCAAGCGUUGUCCGGAAUCAUUGGGCGUAAAGAGCGUGUAGGCGGCUCGAAAAGUCUGCUGUGAAAGUCCAGGGCUCAACCCUGGAAUGCCGGUGGAAACUGUCGAGCUAGAGUCCGGAAGAGGCGAGUGGAAUUCCUGGUGUAGCGGUGAAAUGCGCAGAUAUCAGGAGGAACACCAAUGGCGAAGGCAGCUCGCUGGGACGGUACUGACGCUGAGACGCGAAAGCGUGGGG
Molecule: ribosomal RNA, 772 nt
Filed under: uncultured bacterium
Lineage: Bacteria
Description: bacterial SSU rRNA
Rfam family: Bacterial small subunit ribosomal RNA
Source: RNAcentral